This 414-nucleotide long non-coding RNA is filed under the name Gadus morhua (Atlantic cod). RNAcentral describes it as "lncRNA (ENSGMOG00000027865.1)". The record is from RNAcentral. Lineage: Eukaryota; Metazoa; Chordata; Actinopteri; Gadiformes; Gadidae.
AAUUAAACAAAGGUGAUAACGGUGCAAUGAGUAAAUGUUGCCCUGCUGCGUUUUAUCAACUGAUGUUACAAAACGUCUCUCAUUCAGCAGUCCUGAAGAGAGAACUUCCAGUUAGCUAGAAUGCAAACUUAUUUUAUAGCCUAUUCUAGAUUUUAAGAGAGGUUGUGAGAUGUAAAUGGCUUUUCCCCUCUUUUUUAUGCUGGUCUAGAUGGAAACUCGUGGCAAGAAGAGAGGUGAAGGGAGCAGCAAGACUAAAAGACCAUCCAACCCUAACCUGUGUUCCUCUAUGACUGUGCCACCUCAGGAUGAUCAAUCUGUAGAUGAGGUUGGCAUGCAACCGAAGACCAAAAAGGCCACAGUUGGUUGUUCCCUGAAGGAAUCACGUAAGUCUUGUGCAUACUAUGGAAGUUUGUG